GUUUCUCUUGCCCGGUAAUUGCAUGAGAGAAAGUGGCUGAUCUUGGAGUGAGUGUUUAAGUUGUGUUUUCUUUUUGUAAAUGUCAAGGGUGCAGUUUUGCGUUGCUCCUUGCGAAGCAAAUAGAGGAUCGUUAACCUUAACAUCUCCAGAAACUAUUUGGAUGAAUACUCAAGAUGAUUUUGGAAUUGAUGGGUUGUAUUUGUAUAUAUUUGUUAGAGAAGAUUUUCUUGAUCAGGCAUGGCGAGUUCUCUGUUAUUAGUUUAAACUUUGUGCAUAACUCUGUAUUUUCUCUAGUUGGAUAACAUUCUACAUUCCUCAUGAUGAGAAUUUUU
RNAcentral lists this unclassified non-coding RNA (332 nucleotides) under Hevea brasiliensis (rubber tree). Lineage: Eukaryota; Viridiplantae; Streptophyta; Magnoliopsida; Malpighiales; Euphorbiaceae. The record is from RNAcentral.